UACAGAGGUCCCAAGCGUUGUUCGGAUUCACUGGGCGUAAAGGGUGCGUAGGCGGUCGGGUAAGUCUGAUGUGAAAUCUCACAGCUUAACUGUGAAACUGCAUUGGAUACUAUCCGGCUCGAGGAAUGGAGGGGAGAAUGGAAUUCCCGGUGUAGCGGUGAAAUGCGCAGAUAUCGGGAGGAACACCGGUGGCGAAGGCGGUUCUCUGGGCCUGACCUGACGCUGAGGAGCGAAAGCGUGGGGAGCGAACAGG
RNAcentral lists this ribosomal RNA (253 nucleotides) under uncultured bacterium. RNAcentral describes it as "partial 16S ribosomal RNA". It matches the Rfam family "Bacterial small subunit ribosomal RNA", at positions 524 to 776 of the family's 1533-position model. The record is from RNAcentral.